Long non-coding RNA from Hibiscus syriacus, 285 nucleotides. RefSeq lists it as uncharacterized. The transcript is spliced from 3 exons. The record is from RefSeq and is a predicted model, not a curated record. NCBI's taxonomy places the organism in Eukaryota, Viridiplantae, Streptophyta, Magnoliopsida, Malvales, Malvaceae.
UAUUUUUUUCAUAAUCUUGUGCAGUAUUUGAGCUUUAAUGGAAGAUUGAAUAGUCUUAAAGAAGAUGGGGUUGUAAACUGUAAAGUAAAAGCAAGGAUAUUUGAUAGGGUUCGGUUAUAUUCAUAGUUGAAUCAAUUAGGGUUCUUCAAAAAAAAAUUAACGCCGAGUUCUUUUCCUUGGUUUUAUAAUCCAAAAUAUUUUCCACUCCGUAUAUCAAUUUAAUGGUUGUAUCGUCCUUCGAUUCACUUCUGUUGUCGUCUUUGUUGUUCUCUUUCUUGUUCUGUU